Molecule: non-coding RNA, 2044 nt
Organism: Odocoileus virginianus texanus
Lineage: Eukaryota; Metazoa; Chordata; Mammalia; Artiodactyla; Cervidae
Source: RefSeq, a predicted model, not a curated record
UGUGCCCUACAGGCCGGUCUCACCUUUGAGCCUUUGCACCUGCCGUUCCCUCUGCCUGGCACACCAUCCUCGCCUCCCCUGCUGCCCGAGGUCCAGUCUGUCACCAGCUCAGAAGGAUCUUUUCUGAACUCCCCAUCUGUCCCGGCACAGGAGGCUCUGAUGACAAUGGUUUUUACCCACUUUGUGCAGGAGUAAUCUGCCUCUCCUCAAUCCUGCCUGCCCCCUUCUGAUCCUUCCUGGGGCCUGGGCCAUUGUGGCCCCAACCAGCCCACAUGACUUCUGGGGUGGCAGCAGCCAUCUUGUGACCAUGAGACUUCAAACAUAAAAAUGAAAAUCAAUAAGCUACGAAUGUUCAAGAAGAAGGAUGAUAAUUCUGGGUUCCUGAUGGCAUUGCUGAGACCUGAACUACCACUCCAGUCACCUACUAAAAGACAGCUUCAUGUUUCCUCUGAGACAUUAUUGCAAAUCCAUUCUUGGUUCCAAUUUUUCUGCGAGUCAGAGAUUCUUUAGUUGCAAGGAAUAGAAAUGACUCAAAAUAGCUCAAGGAAGCUGGGAAGAGUACAGAUAUCGUGGAAAUGAAAUGGAUUUGGACCUGGCAGAACCUGGAGCUGGGAGGAACCAAGAAAGUACCUUUUUCUCGAUUACUUUGUUUCCUCUCUCUUCUUUAUCUAUGUGAUCUUGCUUCUACAAUUCUCCUUUUUCUGUCUACAUACCCUGCAUCCUUGUGGCUUCUUUUCUUCCCUGUCAUUUUGGUCUCAGAUAUGCAAGCAAGAGUCUGCUAGUCUGUGGAGGAGGGAAUGCAAAAGACAGCUGGCAAGUUUCUGGUGUUCAGACUGGCCCCAAUUCCAGUCUGUUAUAGACCCAGAACCCCAGUUAACUAGAGACUUCUUGUCCCUGAGUUCAUAUUUUUAUGGAAAAAGGGUUCCCUGGACCUGCAGUGGGCUGGCACCCUGGGAUCGUCCCAUCGGCUCAUUACCUGCAAACAUCAAGGAAGAUGUGACACAAAAAUGGCUUCCCAGGUACAGCCCCGCUCCUGGGCUGUGAGUGUGCUGUUCUUGAGGGCAGCAGGCUGUCAGAAUUUAACUGUGACUUCCCUGGGGUGCUGGGACCCAGGGAGAACCCUCAAUGUGUCUCCCAGAACCACAGUAAACAGCUUGACUGGUUGACCCAGCAACCCUCCCCGUGAGGACCUUGUCUUCCAGGCCCCCCCGGGAUUGCUCUUUUGCUCCCAGAAGGGUGAGCCAUUACCUGCUUGUGCUGUGGAGGUGCCCGAGGCCCAGCAGGAACCACGGGCUUGCUGGUCCUGCACUGUAUGAAUCGUGUAACCAUUGGUCCAUCUUCCCGAGCUUCCGUUUCUCCACCUGCAGGACAGGUGUGGGGUCCCUAACCCCCACUUGGGAAGGCUGAAGGUAGCAGAUGCUAAGUGUCUAAUAGAUAGGCAGUCCCUAUAUCUCAGGCAGUGUGGUUCUACUUAUGGUUUUUCGACUUUAUGACGGUAUGAAAGCAAUAGCAUUCAGUAGAAACCAUACCUCAAAUUUUUAAUUUUGACCUUUUCCCAGGCUGGUAACAUGUGGCACAUUAUCUCGUGACGCUGGGCAGCCACAGCCACAGCUCCCAAUCAGACACACGGUCAGGAGGGCGAAUAAUCGAUACGCUUACAGCCGUUCUGUACCCAGACAACCAUUCUGGUUUUCACUUUCAAUAUAGCAUUCAAUCAGUUACAUAAGAGAGGCAACAUUUCAUUAUAAAACAGGCUUUGUGUUAGAUGAUUUUGUCCAACUGUGGGCUGACAUAAGUGUUCUGAGCGUGUCUAAGGUAGACUGGGCUAAGCCACGAUCUUUGGUAGGUUAUCUGCAAAACUGCCUUUCGGAUUUAUGACAUUCUCAAUUUACAUUGGGUUUAUUGGGAUAUAAUCCAGUUGUAAGAUGAGGAAGAUCUGUAGUGGAUGGUAUUGGAGAUACUAAAAAGUGAUGGCUGAGUAACAAUAAUGGUGCUGAUAAUGAUGAACAUACCUUACUAAGAAAUAAACUCCCUUGACCUGUUA